This 533-nucleotide ribosomal RNA is filed under the name Panagrolaimus subelongatus. RNAcentral's name for it is "SSU rRNA". It matches the Rfam family "Eukaryotic small subunit ribosomal RNA", at positions 100 to 623 of the family's 1831-position model. Lineage: Eukaryota; Metazoa; Nematoda; Chromadorea; Rhabditida; Panagrolaimidae. The record is from RNAcentral.
AUUAUAACAGCUAAAAUUUACUUGAUUUUGACUUUUAUCCUACAUGGAUAACUGUGGUAAUUCUGGAGCUAAUACAUGCAUAAAAGAUAUAACAUUUUUAUGUUAUAUUGCGUAUAUUAGUAUUAAAACCAAGCAUUCUUCGGAAUGUUUUGUGUUGAAACUGAAUAUAUCAUGCUAAUCGUAUGGUCUUGUACCGACGAUAUGUCAUUCAAGUGUCUGAUCUAUCAACUUUCUAUAUAAGUAUAUAGUACUUAUAUGGUUUUGACGGAUAACGGGGUAUUAGGGUACGACUCCGGAGAAAAUGCCUGAGAAACGGCGUUUACAUCCAAGGAAGGCAGCAGGCGCGAAAAUUACCCACUCUCAGUACGAGGAGGUAGUGACGAGAAAUGACAAGAUCUAUUCCUUCGGGGAUGGAUCAUUGGAAUGGUUUGAUUUUAAAAUCAUUAAAGAGUAUCAAUGAGAGGGCAAGUCUGGUGCCAGCAGCCGCGGUAAUUCCAGCUCUCAUACUGCAUUGAAUUGUUGUUGCGGUUAAA